Molecule: ribosomal RNA, 1368 nt
Filed under: uncultured bacterium
Lineage: Bacteria
Description: bacterial SSU rRNA
Rfam family: Bacterial small subunit ribosomal RNA
Source: RNAcentral
GAUGAACGCUGGCGGCGUGCCUAAUACAUGCAAGUCGAGCGAACGGACGAGAAGCUUGCUUCUCUGAUGUUAGCGGCGGACGGGUGAGUAACACGUGGAUAACCUACCUAUAAGACUGGGAUAACUUCGGGAAACCGGAUCUAAUACCGGAUAAUAUUUUGAACCGCAUGGUUCAAAAGUGAAAGACGGUCUUGCUGUCACUUAUAGAUGGAUCCGCGCUGCAUUAGCUAGUUGGUAAGGUAACGGCUUACCAAGGCAACGAUGCAUAUCCGACCUGAGAGGGUGAUCGGCCACACUGGAACUGAGACACGGUCCAGACUCCUACGGGAGGCAGCAGUAGGGAAUCUUCCGCAAUGGGCGAAAGCCUGACGGAGCAACGCCGCGAGAGUGAUGAACGUCUUCGGAUCAUAAAACUCUGUUAUUAGGGAAGAACAUAUGUGUAAAUAACUGUGCACAUCUUGACGGUACCUAAUCACAAAGCCCCGGGUAACUACGUGGCAACACCCGCGGUAAUACGUAGGUGGCAAGCGUUAUCCCGAAUUAUUGGGCGUAGCGCGCGUAGCGGUUUUUUAGUCUGAUGUGAAAGCCCACGGCUCAACCGUGGAGGGUCAUUGGAAACUGGAAAACUUGAGUGCAGAAGAGGAAAGUGGAAUUCCAUGUGUAGCGGUGAAAUGCGCAGAGAUAUGGAGGAACACCAGUGGCGAAGGCGACUUUCUGGUCUGUAACUGACGCUGAUGUGCGAAAGCGUGGGGAUCAAACAGGAUUAGAUACCCUGGUAGUCCACGCCGUAAACGAUGAGUGCUAAGUGUUAGGGGGUUUCCGCCCCUUAGUGCUGCAGCUAACGCAUUAAGCACUCCGCCUGGGGAGUACGACCGCAAGGUUGAAACUCAAAGGAAUUGACGGGGACCCGCACAAGCGGUGGAGCAUGUGGUUUAAUUCGAAGCAACGCGAAGAACCUUACCAAAUCUUGACAUCCUUUGACAACUCUAGAGAUAGAGCCUUCCCCUUCGGGGGACAAAGUGACAGGUGGUGCAUGGUUGUCGUCAGCUCGUGUCGUGAGAUGUUGGGUUAAGUCCCGCAACGAGCGCAACCCUUAAGCUUAGUUGCCAUCAUUAAGUUGGGCACUCUAAGUUGACUGCCGGUGACAAACCGGAGGAAGGUGGGGAUGACGUCAAAUCAUCAUGCCCCUUAUGAUUUGGGCUACACACGUGCUACAAUGGACAAUACAAAGGGCAGCGAAACCGCGAGGUCAAGCAAAUCCCAUAAAGUUGUUCUCAGUUCGGAUUGUAGUCUGCAACUCGACUACAUGAAGCUGGAAUCGCUAGUAAUCGUAGAUCAGCAUGCUACGGUGAAUACGUUCCCGGGUCU